CCUUUUUUUACUAUAAAACUACCAGGCUUAGGAGCUACUCAAAUAAGGCACAGCUUAUUUGACAAAGGAGACAACCUACAAAAAAGGGUAAAUACCCAAAAAUAAAACAAGUGGGCCCGAAAGCAGCCACCUUUCAGAAAGCGUUAAAGCUCUGUUUGUACUAAAGACUAAUACCCCAACCUCACAUUAAACCCUUUAUUCCUACUGAAUGAUUCUAUAAAGUAUAGAAACCCCAAUGCUAAAACUAGUAACAAGAAAUUGAAUUUCUCCAAAUACAAGCAUAAAUCAAAAUGGACAAGCCAUUGAUAAUUAACAUAACUGAGCCAAAUAUAGUAACUAAACAAGAAAAAACUAUUAAUCCUUUUGUUAACCUCACACAAGUGUAUUUCUGGAAAGAUUAAAAGAAAGGGAAGGAACUCGGCAAAUCUUAACCCCGCCUGUUUACCAAAAACAUCGCCUCUUGCUUUUCAUAAGAGGUCCAGCCUGCCCAGUGACACAAUUAAACGGCCGCGGUACCCUGACCGUGCGAAGGUAGCAUAAUCACUUGUUCUCUAAAUAAGGACUUGUAUCAACGGCAUCACGAGGGUUAUACUGUCUCCCCUUUUUAAUCAGUGAAACUGACCUUCCCGUGAAGAGGCGGGAAUAAAAAUACAAGACGAGAAGACCCCAUGGAGCUUUAAACCCAAUAGCAACCUCUAUUUUCUAUGACCGUGUAAUCAAGAAGGCCUGCUUAUUGGUUUUAGGUUGGGGUGACCCUGGAGUAAAACAUAGCCUCCAUGACGAAUAGAUUUUAUCCUAAUCCCAGAGCCACUGCUCUAAGAAUCAAAAAUUUGACGUAAACUGAUCCGCUUAGCGAUCAACGAACCAAGUUACCCUGGGGAUAACAGCGCAAUCCAUUUCAAGAGCCCCUAUCGACAAAUGGGUUUACGACCUCGAUGUUGGAUCAGGGUAUCCCAGUGGUGCAGCCGCU
RNAcentral lists this ribosomal RNA (970 nucleotides) under Limnonectes kohchangae (Koh Chang wart frog). RNAcentral describes it as "partial large subunit ribosomal RNA". It matches the Rfam family "Bacterial large subunit ribosomal RNA", at positions 950 to 2563 of the family's 2925-position model. The record is from RNAcentral. Lineage: Eukaryota; Metazoa; Chordata; Amphibia; Anura; Dicroglossidae.